This is a long non-coding RNA of Leucoraja erinaceus (little skate), 2607 nucleotides long. RefSeq lists it as uncharacterized. The record is from RefSeq and is a predicted model, not a curated record. The transcript is spliced from 4 exons. NCBI's taxonomy places the organism in Eukaryota, Metazoa, Chordata, Chondrichthyes, Rajiformes, Rajidae.
AAGAUUAUGGUGCCCAUGCUUGAUAGUCCGUAUCAGUUGUAGAAUAAUCUCGGCAAAGCUGGAGCCAUCAUUGAUAUGUCAUCUCAGAUAAAGUUUGCCAAAUGGGUCUGUAUUCAGCAAAAAACAAACCAGCUCGGGCUGUGUUUUUUACCUAAUUCUUUUUCAGCAGGCUGAACAAUUAUUGAUUUUUCCAGAAGAUGAAACUUUAAGACUUCAAUAAACCUCUCUGGAAUCACUGAAGGAACUCAGUCAUGAAUGUUGCUUUGACCAAGGACUUCACUAAACAACACAAAUCACUGGAAUGGGCUUGUACAAUUUAUGACUAUUUCAUGAACUAUUUCUUGUACAAUUUAUGACUAUUUCAUGAACUAUUUCUUUGCCCAUUUCAUGAUGGUCACUGAUUCCAGUCUGAUUGAAUACUUGAAGACAGAUGCUGUCGAGCCUGCGGAGCAUUUCCACCAAUUUCUCCUGUUUCUUGGCUAAAGGAAUUAUCCAGAGGGUUUGCAUGCAAGUUCAAACUGGCCUAACUGCUGCCUGGAGAAUACAAUCUGUCAAACCUCCAGCAUAUUAAUUCAAGAAAAUGCAUUCUGUGGAUAUGUACAAAGAGGUCUCCAAACCAUUAGAACCUUAUGGUCAAGAUCUGAAGCUAAUUUAGCUCAGCAUUUAUUAUCCAUUCCUAUUUUACCCGGUGGAGUCGGUGAUGAUUCACUUUCCGGAGCAGCAGCACUCAUUCCGGUGAAGGUACACCUACUAAUGAUAGAGGAUCACCACAUCAAUGAUUCAGAUAUAAUCAUAAGCGUAGAAUUCCCAUUUAUGAAUAACUCCUAAAGCAAUCCUCUUGGGCCCCUGCGUGUAACAGUGACAAUGCAAACGUUCUUUGUGACCUUGGACCUAUAUGAUGGUGCCCGAGUGUGGUGGCUCUUGGCGUGCCGAUCGCAGAAGAAGAUCUACUUUCAUCCAUUCAAGCCAUUUCCUUUUCUUUAAUUGAAUGUUGCAUUUGUUACUUCAUUACCCACUCAUUCUACAAUAAUAAAUGAAGACUAGAAAUUGCAUCCAUUUGCACAAUGUUCACCAAGAGCUUUACGUCGUCUUAAAACAGAGGCGAUGCAAUAAGACAAAGAGCGACCUUCGUGAGACUGAAUCAGCUGCAAGAAUCGCGAUUUUGGACAGACAAUGUUUUGGCCACUUCAGACACUUCCAGGGACCCGACCUGAAAUAUCAUCUGUCCAUUCCGUCCACAGAUGCUGCCUGACCUGCCGAGUUCCUACAGCACUUUGUGUUUUACUCAGGAUUGCAGUAUUUGCAGUUCCUUAUGUCAACAUUGCUAUUUUGUACUUUUUAUGCUCUUCAUCAUCUGUAAUUUUAAAGUAAGGAUAUUGCCCUCAUCAUGGUAAUGACAAGAACAUUUAAUAGUAAACUAGUCCUGUGACUAUACCAAAUAUAAAUAUAAUUAAUUAGUUCACGUUAGCAGAAAAAGGGAAUAAUUCUAUCGAACAAAGAAGUUGUAUUUGAAUAUCUGACACUUCAACAGCUUGGGUGCUGUCUUUGCGGAGUUUGCCAUUCUCCAGGUGCUCCGGUUUCCUCUCACAUCUCAAAGACGUGCGGGUUUGUAAGUUAAUUGGGCUUUGAAGAAAAUUGCCCCUAGUGGGAACAAAAGUGGGAUAACAUGGAACUAUCUAGAACACUGAAGAAGGGUCCAAAUCUGAGGAAGGACAUUAUUUCCAUAGAGGGAGUGCAGAGAAGGUUCACCAGACUGAUUCCUGGGAUGUCAGGACUGUCUUAUGAAGAAAGACUGGAUAGACUUGGUUUAUACUCUCUAGAAUUUAGGAGAUUGAGAGGGGAUCUUAUAGAAACUUACAAAAUUCUUAAGGGGUUGGACAGGCUAGAUGCAGGAAGAUUGUUCCCGAUGUUGGGGAAGUCCAGGACAAGGGGUCACAGCUUAUGGAUAAGGGGGAAAUCCUUUAAAACCGAGAUGAGAAGAACUUUUUUCACACAGAGAGUGGUGAAUCUCUGGAACUCUCUGUCACAGAGGGCAGUCGAGGCCAGUUAAUUGGCUAUAUUUAAGAGGGAGUUAGAUGUGGCCCUUGUGGCUAAGGGGAUCAGAGGGUAUGGAGAGAAGGCAGGUACGGGAUACUGAGUUGGAUGAUCAGCCAUGAUCAUAUUGAAUGGCGGUGCAGGCUCGAAGGGCCGAAUGGCCUACUCCUGCACCUAAUUUCUAUGUUUCUAUGUUUCUAUGAAACGUCACCCAUUCCUUCUCUCCAGAGAUGCUGCCUGUCCCGCUGAGUUACUCCAGCUUUUUUUGUCUAGUCUAUCUUCGGUUUAAACCAGCAUCUGCGGUUCCUUCUUACACAUAUCUAGAACAUAGAACGGCUGACUGAUGGUCAGCUGGGACUUGAUGGACCAAAGGGCCCGUUUCCAUUCUGUAUCUCUAAACUAAACUGUAGAUUGGUUAUAUCCUACUAGCCAAUUGUAGUGCUUGUAGUAGUUACUCCGCCCAAUAUUCGUUUUAUAUUAGGAAGAGUUUGUCUACUCAAUUCAGUGAGUAGCUGCUAGGAACUGUUAUGUCCUGUAGACUGAUUCUGUAAGUACAUUUAAUAAACAUGUGUU